RNAcentral lists this unclassified non-coding RNA (325 nucleotides) under uncultured Paraglomus. Its description in RNAcentral is "sequence contains ITS2". The record is from RNAcentral. Lineage: Eukaryota; Fungi; Glomeromycota; Glomeromycetes; Paraglomerales; Paraglomeraceae.
AACGCAAAUUGCGCCUUCUUUCGGAAGGCAUGUCUGUUUGAGGGCACCAUUUAACAAAUAAUGUGGGCGUCGUUUUUACGAGCGAUGUGCACACGUUGAUGAGCUUUUCCGAAAAAACCUGUUUUUUUUGGUGGCGCAUAAUGAACAGCGUGGGCUUUUUCUUCGAUUCUCGUGUAGUAAAUCUUCAACGCUUGGGUUGAGAAAAAGUGCGUGCCGCGCAAUGGGUGUGGCGAAUUUUACCCCUGCCCCAAUGCCACUCUUUCCCUGCGAAAGAACAUCUUUUAUUCAGGGCCUCAAAUCAGACAAGAGUACCCGCUGAACUUAA